RNAcentral lists this transfer RNA (66 nucleotides) under Xenoturbella japonica. RNAcentral's name for it is "tRNA-Trp". Lineage: Eukaryota; Metazoa; Xenacoelomorpha; Xenoturbellidae. The record is from RNAcentral.
AAAAGCUUAAGUUAAGCAAAACUAUAAGCCUUCAAAGCUUAAAUUAUAGAAAGUCUAUAGCUUUUA